AAAGUAACAUUUUAAUGUGGAGCUUAGUAAUCGCCUAGAAUGAAUGGCGAUAUACAGUUUACUGCACCCUCCAAUGCGCAAAAGAGGCAGGAUGGCAAAAUUCAUGACUAUCUUAAGCAAGCCAGGAGACUGCUAAAAAGCUACCCCGGCUUUUCCUCCUGCACCAGCUGAGGCACCCGGUCUCCCGGUUUCCACACGAGUUCAGAGACACAAACUCACCCGCCGCUGAGGAAACGGUACUGCCUUCGCGGCCUUCUGGGAUCCAGGUUACGAGUGCGCUCCACUGGUUCGAGAUUUCUGCCCGCCGCUCGCCAGGGAGACUGAAUGCCCAAGCGCCUACUCGCACAGGCCGCAAAUACGGCCGCGCUGCGCGGGGAGCUGCUGGAGGUCUUCCUCUUGCCCGGCGUGCACUGCGGCCGGGGGCGGGGACGCGGAACCAUAGAGAAGAACGCAUAUAGAUCGUCUCCGCUGUUGGCUCUGACUCACCAAGCCGAGUCGAAUAACCAUAGAGAAGCAGCGUCUAGCUGCUACUAGAAAGGCCCGAACUGUAAAUUAUGACCCACCAUGUUUGAUUGGAGCGGACUGAAUCUUACGACUACGGGACGCCAUCUUGAGGUCAAGGUUCCGCCUGGGCACGGAGCGAGGAGUGUUAGUGGGUUUCUCACUUUUCGUAGUUUUUCGGGGCGUAGAACCUUGCUUUGUGAUUCCUUGAGGUUCGAGGAACUGAUAACUGGGCGCGAUCCGCAACCUUAGUGUUAAACCCCAAGUGCUGUUAUGACAACUACUCGAGAUCAAAUAAUUGGCAAAGGCUGUGGAGGUUUUUUGAAAAGCAAAAGCUUAUGCGUAGUUGCAGGGCCAAAGAGGUGGCUAGAAGAUGUUUGGAAAAACGUGAAAAAUCCUGUAAUACUAGUUAACACGGCUUUCGUUCUGUAAUCUAAAAGUGCUAAAAAAAAACUUAGCUUAAGUUAAUGGAAAUGAAUAAAAUUAAUCAUAAAUGA
RNAcentral lists this non-coding RNA (998 nucleotides) under Pongo abelii (Sumatran orangutan). The record is from RNAcentral. Lineage: Eukaryota; Metazoa; Chordata; Mammalia; Primates; Hominidae.